CUCCAGACUCCUACGGGAGGCAGCAGUGGGGAAUAUUGCACAAUGGGGGAAACCCUGAUGCAGCGACGCCGCGUGAGUGGAGAAGUAUUUCGGUAUGUAAAGCUCUAUCAGCAGGGAAGAAAAUGACGGUACCUGACUAAGAAGCCCCGGCUAACUACGUGCCAGCAGCCGCGGUAAUACGUAGGGGGCAAGCGUUAUCCGGAUUUACUGGGUGUAAAGGGAGCGUAGACGGCAUGGCAAGUCAGAUGUGAAAGCCCGGGGCUCAACCCCGGGACUGCAUUUGAAACUGUCAGGCUGGAGUGCAGGAGAGGUAAGUGGAAUUCCUAGUGUAGCGGUGAAAUGCGUAGAUAUUAGGAGGAACACCAGUGGCGCAGGCGGCCUGCUGGACGACAACUGACGGUGAGGCGCGAAAGCGUGGGGAGCAAACAGGAUUAGAUACCCGGGUAUGC
RNAcentral lists this ribosomal RNA (449 nucleotides) under uncultured bacterium. Its description in RNAcentral is "bacterial SSU rRNA". It matches the Rfam family "Bacterial small subunit ribosomal RNA", at positions 329 to 794 of the family's 1533-position model. The record is from RNAcentral.